GACGAACGCUGGCGGCGUGCCUAAUACAUGCAAGUUGAGCGAUGAAGAUUGGUGCUUGCACCAAUUUGAAGAGCAGCGAACGGGUGAGUAACGCGUGGGGAAUCUGCCUUUGAGCGGGGGACAACAUUUGGAAACGAAUGCUAAUACCGCAUAACAACUUUAAACAUAAGUUUUAAGUUUGAAAGAUGCAAUUGCAUCACUCAAAGAUGAUCCCGCGUUGUAUUAGCUAGUUGGUGAGGUAAAGGCUCACCAAGGCGAUGAUACAUAGCCGACCUGAGAGGGGGAUCGGCCACAUUGGGACGGAGACACGGCCCAAACUCCUACGGGAGGCAGCAGUAGGGAAUCUUCGGCAAUGGACGAAAGUCUGACCGAGCAACGCCGCGUGAGUGAAGAAGGUUUUCGGAUCGUAAAACUCGGUUGGUAGAGAAGAACGUUGGUGAGAGUGGAAAGCUCAUCAAGUGACGGUAACUACCCAGAAAGGGACGGCUAACUACGUG
RNAcentral lists this ribosomal RNA (497 nucleotides) under uncultured bacterium. Its description in RNAcentral is "partial 16S ribosomal RNA". It matches the Rfam family "Bacterial small subunit ribosomal RNA", at positions 28 to 507 of the family's 1533-position model. The record is from RNAcentral.